AGUGUCGAAGGUACUGAAUCGCUUACCCGGCUGGACUCUGGGCUGCUCUGCGGUCUUGGUCACAUUCUGAGUCACCACCGGUGAGCCUGUGGACGAAGACGGAGAAACCGAAAGAUUGUGUGAGGAAGAGAUGGAUUGCCAUGGAGACGCCAGCAGAUAUGGGAACGACUGUGAGGCGCUCGAUGUGUUAGAGUGAUGACGGAGGUUGCGGCUGGGAUCGACACGCUGCUUUCGAGGUCAAGGCAAUCCCUUUUCCCAUCGGCAGAAGCGGAAACAUUUGGAGACAUCAGUGGAUUCUUCGUCCUCCUGCAGUAGCUGUCAAAAAAGGUAGCUGUGAUCUUGGCUCCUCGGCUUCUCUCUAAGACACUGCAGCCAUCAGACCUCGAGGUAUGUCUUUACAAUCUCACUAAAACACUAUUAAAACAAUAAGCAGAUAAGGGAUCUUCCAGAAUUAUCCUAGUAAAUGUGUCUUACUA
Long non-coding RNA from Nerophis ophidion (straightnose pipefish), 476 nucleotides. RefSeq lists it as uncharacterized. The record is from RefSeq and is a predicted model, not a curated record. Lineage: Eukaryota; Metazoa; Chordata; Actinopteri; Syngnathiformes; Syngnathidae. The transcript has 3 exons.